CUGUAAGCCUGUGAAGGUGUACUGUGAGGUAUGCUGGAGGUAUCAGAAGUGCGAAUGCUGACAUAAGUAACGAUAAAGCGGGUGAAAAGCCCGCUCGCCGGAAGACCAAGGGUUCCUGUCCAACGUUAAUCGGGGCAGGGUGAGUCGACCCCUAAGGCGAGGCCGAAAGGCGUAGUCGAUGGGAAACAGGUUAAUAUUCCUGUACUUGGUGUUACUGCGAAGGGGGGACGGAGAAGGCUAUGUUGGCCGGGCGACGGUUGUCCCGGUUUAAGCGUGUAGGCUGGUUUUCCAGGCAAAUCCGGAAAAUCAAGGCUGAGGCGUGAUGACGAGGCACUACGGUGCUGAAGCAACAAAUGCCCUGCUUCCAGGAAAAGCCUCUAAGCAUCAGGUAACAUCAAAUCGUACCCCAAACCGACACAGGUGGUCAGGUAGAGAAUACCAAGGCGCUUGAGAGAACUCGGGUGAAGGAACUAGGCAAAAUGGUGCCGUAACUUCGGGAGAAGGCACGCUGAUAUGUAGGUGAAGUCCCUCGCGGAUGGAGCUGAAAUCAGUCGAA
RNAcentral lists this ribosomal RNA (556 nucleotides) under Escherichia coli. Its description in RNAcentral is "partial 23S ribosomal RNA". It matches the Rfam family "Bacterial large subunit ribosomal RNA", at positions 1241 to 1791 of the family's 2925-position model. The record is from RNAcentral. Lineage: Bacteria; Pseudomonadati; Pseudomonadota; Gammaproteobacteria; Enterobacterales; Enterobacteriaceae.